UCCCUCAUAGCUAAGUCGGUAAAGAAUCUGCCUGCAAUGCAGUAGACCUGGGUUCAAUUCCUGGGUUGGGAA
Molecule: transfer RNA, 72 nt
Filed under: Bos taurus (domestic cattle)
Lineage: Eukaryota; Metazoa; Chordata; Mammalia; Artiodactyla; Bovidae
Also listed under: 1 other name
Rfam family: tRNA
About the family: Transfer RNA (tRNA) molecules are approximately 80 nucleotides in length.
Source: Rfam by way of RNAcentral